ACUCCUACGGGAGGCAGCAGUGGGGAAUAUUGCACAAUGGGCGCAAGCCUGAUGCAGCCAUGCCGCGUGUGUGAAGAAGGCCUUCGGGUUGUAAAGACUUUCAGUCGUGAGGAAGGGUAGUAGUAGUAUAGCUGCUAUAUUUGACGUUAGCGAACAAGAAGAAGCGACCGGCUAACUCCGUGCCAGCAGCCGCGGUAAUACGGAGGGUGCGAGCGUUAAUCGGAAUUACUGGGCGUAAAGCGCAUGCAGGUGGUUUGUUAAGUCAGAUGUGAAAGCCCGGGGCUCAACCUCGG
Molecule: ribosomal RNA, 293 nt
Filed under: uncultured bacterium
Lineage: Bacteria
Description: partial 16S ribosomal RNA
Rfam family: Bacterial small subunit ribosomal RNA
Source: RNAcentral